GUACACUCCUACGGGAGGCAGCAGUGGGGAAUAUUGGACAAUGGGCGCAAGCCUGAUCCAGCCAUGCCGCGUGAGUGAUGAAGGCCCUAGGGUUGUAAAGCUCUUUCACCGGUGAAGAUAAUGACGGUCACCGGAGAAGAAGCCCCGGCUAACUUCGUGCCAGCAGCCGCGGUAAUACGAAGGGGGCUAGCGUUGUUCGGAUUUACUGGGCGUAAAGCGCACGUAGGCGGACUAUUAAGUCAGGGGUGAAAUCCCGGGGCUCAACCCCGGAACUGCCUUUGAUACUGGUAGUCUUGAGUUCGAGAGAGGUGAGUGGAAUUCCGAGUGUAGAGGUGAAAUUCGUAGAUAUUCGGAGGAACACCAGUGGCGAAGGCGGCUCACUGGCUCGAUACUGACGCUGAGGUGCGAAAGCGUGGGGAGCAAACAGGAUUAGAUACCCCGGUAGUCCCAUGA
Molecule: ribosomal RNA, 453 nt
Filed under: uncultured organism
Description: partial 16S ribosomal RNA
Rfam family: Bacterial small subunit ribosomal RNA
Source: RNAcentral